Molecule: ribosomal RNA, 390 nt
Filed under: uncultured bacterium
Lineage: Bacteria
Description: bacterial SSU rRNA
Rfam family: Bacterial small subunit ribosomal RNA
Source: RNAcentral
AUUGAACGCUGGCGGCAUGCUUUACACAUGCAAGUCGAACGGCAGCGGGUCCUUCGGGAUGCCGGCGAGUGGCGAACGGGUGAGUAAUGCAUCGGAACGUACCGUGUAAUGGGGGAUAACGUAGCGAAAGUUACGCUAAUACCGCAUACGCCCUGAGGGGGAAAGCGGGGAUCGCAAGACCUCGCGUUAUACGAGCGGCCGAUGUCGGAUUAGCUAGUUGGUGGGGUAAAGGCUCACCAAGGCGACGAUCCGUAGCGGGUCUGAGAGGAUGAUCCGCCACACUGGGACUGAGACACGGCCCAGACUCCUACGGGAGGCAGCAGUGGGGAAUUUUGGACAAUGGGGGCAACCCUGAUCCAGCCAUGCCGCGUGCGGGAAGAAGGCCUUCGG